Molecule: unclassified non-coding RNA, 329 nt
Filed under: soil metagenome
Description: partial contains 5.8S ribosomal RNA, internal transcribed spacer 2, and large subunit ribosomal RNA
Rfam family: 5.8S ribosomal RNA (bases 1-120)
Source: RNAcentral
GAUGAAGAACGUAGCGAAAUGCGAUAAGUAAUGUGAAUUGUAGAAUUCAGUGAAUCAUCGAAUCUUUGAACGCACAUUGCGCCCCUUGGUAUUCCGAGGGGCAUGCCUGUUCGAGCGUCAUUAUAACCCCUCAAGCUCAGCUUGAUGUUGGGGCCUGCUGCACUGGCAGCCCUUAAAAUCAGUGGCGGCGCCAUCUGGCUCUAAGCGUAGUAAUUCUUCUCGCUAUGGAGUCCUGGUGGAUGCUUGCCAUCAACCCCCAAUUUUUCUAUGGUUGACCUCGGAUCAGGUAGGGAUACCCGCUGAACUUAAGCAUAUCAAUAAGCGGAGGA